Molecule: ribosomal RNA, 440 nt
Filed under: uncultured bacterium
Lineage: Bacteria
Description: partial 16S ribosomal RNA
Rfam family: Bacterial small subunit ribosomal RNA
Source: RNAcentral
CCUACGGGUGACAGCAGUGGGGAAUAUUGCACAAUGGGGGAAACCCUGAUGCAGCGACGCCGCGUGCGUGAAGAAGUAUUUCGGUAUGUAAAGCUCUAUCAUCAGGGAAGAAAAUGACGGUACCUGACUAAGAAGCCCCGGCUAACUACGUGCCAGCAGCCGCGGUAAUACGUAGGGGGCACGCGUUAGCCGGAUUUACUGGGUGUAAAGGGAGCGUAGACGGUGCAGCAAGUCUGAUGUGAAAGGCCGUGGCUCAACCCGGGGAGUGCAUUGGAAACUGUUGAACUGGAGUACAGGAGAGGUAAGCGGAAUUCCUAGUGUAGCGGUGAAAUGCGUAGAUAUUAGGAGGAACACCAGUGGCGAAGGCGGCUUACUGGACUGUAACUGACGCUGAGGUUCGAAAGCGUGGGUAGCAAACAGGAUUAGAUACCCCUGUAGUC